Molecule: ribosomal RNA, 301 nt
Filed under: uncultured bacterium
Lineage: Bacteria
Description: partial 16S ribosomal RNA
Rfam family: Bacterial small subunit ribosomal RNA
Source: RNAcentral
CAGCAGCCGCGGUAAUACGUAGGUGGCAAGCGUUGUCCGGAAUUAUUGGGCGUAAAGGGCUCGCAGGCGGUUUCUUAAGUCUGAUGUGAAAGCCCCCGGCUCAACCGGGGAGGGUCAUUGGAAACUGGGAAACUUGAGUGCAGAAGGGGAGAGUGGAAUUCCACGGGUAGCGGUGAAAUGCGUAGAGGUGUGGAGGAACACCAGUGGUGAAGGCGACUCUCUGGUCUGUAACUGACGCUGAGGAGCGAAAGCGUGGGGAGCGAACAGGAUUAGAUACCCCCGUAGUCCCUGUCUCUUAUAC